This 798-nucleotide long non-coding RNA is filed under the name Homo sapiens (human). Its description in RNAcentral is "HSALNT0382505". Lineage: Eukaryota; Metazoa; Chordata; Mammalia; Primates; Hominidae. The record is from RNAcentral.
AGAAGCAGAUCAGAAAUCGAACACGUUUGCUUUUGCGAUUCGAGAGCCCUUUCUGGCGCGGAGCUAGGGGCGGUGUUACGUAGCUGCCCUGAACUGAGAGCAGCGUUGGCCGGGGGCUAGGGAGCCGGGCUGUUCCACGCUCACUGUGCGCCUCGGGCGGCGGGGCUCGGGCUCUGUCCGAGGUGCUGAACUCCGGGGCUCCGGCCGCGCCGGCAGAGUGUGCCAGCGUCCAUUAUUGCCAGUGUCUGUGGGCAUCUUCCAGAAGGCCGAGCAUGGGGGUCAGGUGAAACCAGGGCGGUAAGUGCUUCUCCCAUCAUUUCUCAGAAAUGCUUAGGUGCCUACUUUUUACAAUUUCGUGCACAUUUUCAGGAUCAUAACCUCUCACCGCCAGUUCCUCACAGGUUUCUGCAAAAACUGACGACCUUUCUUCCCCUUCAGUCCCUGCAAAAAUCCAGACACCUAUCACCCAGCCCCGCUCCGCAACCAUUUCCUACAAGAAUCCAGGCCCCUACGCAUCUCAUCCCCACGCGUCAAUGCAAAAAUAAAAAAUGUUAAAUCCGCCUUCCAUUCCCGUCUCCCACAAUUUCCUGUGAUAAAAGCAAGCUGUCUCCUACCAGUUCCCCACUCCUGCCUGUGGCUAAACAGCAUGGACCGACUUCUCGGGAGCUCGAGGUCCCCACCCGGGUGACCAAUGCAGACCCCUGGGGGUGCGCUUACCUGGUGGGGACAAUCGCCGAGCGAGGCCACCUGGGUCCAGGCUAUAGGUAGUGUCAUUAUUAUUCCCAAAACAAAAUCAGG